CUUAACCACUGGACCACCAGGGAAGUCUCAGCUAUUUCUUAAUAAGGUCAAAUAUCUGAACUGUGUUCAAUUAUGUGACAGAUGGACCCAAUUGUUUCUCUUUUUAUUUUUUUAACCAUUGGUUUGCUUGAAAUUGGUAUCCGACAAGGUCCAUAUAUUGCAUUUGGUUGUUAUUUGUCUGUUUUAAUCUCUAAGUUCUCCGUCUGUUUUCCCUUUAAAUUAAUUAUGUAAGAAAUCUAGUUGUUUUGUCAUAUAGCGUUUCUUCCCACAUUCUGGAUUUUGUUGAUUGUAUCACUGUAAAGUAAUUUAACUUGUUUUUGUACUCCCUGUAUAGCCUGUAAACAGAUCGGCUUGAUCAGAUUCCAAUUCAAUUUAUUUAAUGCCCUCUCUUGAAUCAUACUACACAGAUGCCCAGAACUUCCAGAUUUGAGUCCCCACUGUAUUCCCCAAAGAAUGCGUAUCUCCUAUCAUAAGUGGCAUAUGAAGACCAUGGACCUACUUCAGUGAGAACAAUGGAUACAGACAUUUACAAGAUUGUGGUGACCUGUGUUACGGUUAUAAGUUGGUGAGAAAGAGGUCUGAAAGAAGGCACAUGGCCUCGUGAGCUUCUGGGUGUUGUCAAAUCCAAUUCUCUCUCAAGUACCGAAUGCCCAGAUGCAUUUACUGGGGAUGCAAGAGUGUCACUUAAGCAGUGGUUUUUGUCAAUAUAAAUAGAAGCAUCUUGAUUAAAGUGUGAGGAGAUAGAAACCAUACUGAUUUGGGCAAUUUCGGCUCCAAUAAUGUCUAAUUUACUGUGAAGGGGGAAUAUGUUCUAAGUUAAUGUUCUUAAAAGCAACUUCCAAAUUUCUCCUUAAAAAAUAUUUACUUUAUUAAAAAGCUGCUUGAGGAAGAGCUGUUUUAUUGCAUGGCACAGAUUCAAUGUACAGAUGUUAUCUUAGAACUAUUAAUUAAGGAGUUCCCUUGUGACUUUGAAUAUUCAAUACCAGCUGUUAUUCACAUCAAUAUUUUAAUAUUUUACCAGAAAGAUACUUAAUAAAAGGAUUGAUACAUAUUUAACUGUGUAAAGUGCUAGUUAAACUUGUUCAAAUGGGUCAGAGGGAAAGGGAAAUAAAUAACAUUCCUAUACGCACAAGCUCUACUUAUAUAUCUUGCUUAAUCUUUAUGACUAUUCCAUGAGGUAGAUUUUAAUUCUCAUUUGAUAAGUGAGGAAGCUAAGGCUCCAGAAGGGUUAUAUAACUUUCCUGAAGAUACACUGCUAAUAAAUGGCAGAAUUGGGAUUUGAACCUAAGUGUCCCUGAUUGCAAAGCCUGGUUUUUUUUAUUUUUACAUUAUCAUAUAUUUUUUAUUUUAAAAAAUCUAAUAUUUUAAUAUUAAAAUAAAAUUAAAAACAGCAUCCUUUUCUCACCAUUAAAAGUAGGAUA
This is a long non-coding RNA of Lagenorhynchus albirostris (white-beaked dolphin), 1421 nucleotides long. RefSeq lists it as uncharacterized. NCBI's taxonomy places the organism in Eukaryota, Metazoa, Chordata, Mammalia, Artiodactyla, Delphinidae. The transcript is spliced from 3 exons. The record is from RefSeq and is a predicted model, not a curated record.